UGUGGGAGCUGGCUUGCCUGCGAUCGCGAUGUGUCUGUGCCAGCAGUGUUGGCUGGCAUACCGCUAUCGCAGGCAAGCCAGCUCCCACA
Molecule: unclassified non-coding RNA, 89 nt
Filed under: Pseudomonas sp. bs2935
Lineage: Bacteria; Pseudomonadati; Pseudomonadota; Gammaproteobacteria; Pseudomonadales; Pseudomonadaceae
Source: RNAcentral